CUUGACAUGGCAAAUGAGCGGGUUGGAUAAUUUGCAGGCAAGUCACUAUACCCAUGGGUCAUAUGGUAUGAGUAAAAUUUACCAAUAAAUAGUGACCCGCAGGUCACAUGGGUACGAGUAAAAUUUACCGAUGAAUUUUUGGGUAAUCAACAUCUUUACCCAUAUCUGCCCACAGAUGAGCAUGUGGGUAUGCGGGUUACUCGCAAGAUUUUUUUUCUUUUAUACCCUAUAUUUUUCAAAUGCAAACUCCAUACAUAAAAUUUUUAACAAUACAACGUAACUUUUUGUUUAAAAUAUCACAACAUAUAAUAAAUAAUAUAAAAUUUUAAAGCACGUAAAUUAUAUAAUAUAAAGAUAUUUUAUUAUCCCAAAUUUUUAUGAUACAAAAUUAAUAAAGUUUUUAUUAUCAUAAAGUCAAUAUUAUAGAGAUUAUAUAUUUUUUAAUUAAAAAAUACAUAUGCGGGUACCCGUGGGUACUAGCUAGUUGCCCAAAUUACCUACCCGUUUUAUCCAUAAUUUUUCGGAUAAGAAAAAUAGUACCAAUACCCGCAAAUUUACGCAUAAUACACGGGUACUUGCGGGUAUGGGUAGAGAUUGCCGGGUUUAGCU
This 609-nucleotide long non-coding RNA is filed under the name Ananas comosus (pineapple). Its description in RNAcentral is "long non-coding RNA (ACOM_LNC002213)". Lineage: Eukaryota; Viridiplantae; Streptophyta; Magnoliopsida; Poales; Bromeliaceae. The record is from RNAcentral.